GUAGGUGGCAAGCGUUGUCCGGAAUUAUUGGGCGUAAAGCGCGCGCAGGCGGUCCUUUAAGUCUGAUGUGAAAGCCCACGGCUCAACCGUGGAGGGUCAUUGGAAACUGGGGGACUUGAGUACAGAAGAGGAAAGCGGAAUUCCAAGCGUAGCGGUGAAAUGCGUAGAGAUUUGGAGGAACACCAGUGGCGAAGGCGGCUUUCUGGUCUGUAACUGACGCUGAGGCGCGAAAGCGUGGGGAGCAAACAGGGAUUAGAUACCCCGGUAGUCCACGCCGUAAACGAUGAGUGCUAAGUGUUAGGGGGUUUCCCGCCCCCCUUAGUGCUGCAGCUAACGCAUUAAGCACUCCGCCUGGGGAGUACGGCCGCAAGGCUG
RNAcentral lists this ribosomal RNA (375 nucleotides) under uncultured organism. RNAcentral's name for it is "partial 16S ribosomal RNA". It matches the Rfam family "Bacterial small subunit ribosomal RNA", at positions 527 to 896 of the family's 1533-position model. The record is from RNAcentral.